Topomyia yanbarensis is the source of this 1295-nucleotide long non-coding RNA. RefSeq lists it as uncharacterized. The transcript is spliced from 3 exons. The record is from RefSeq and is a predicted model, not a curated record. NCBI's taxonomy places the organism in Eukaryota, Metazoa, Arthropoda, Insecta, Diptera, Culicidae.
UCAUCAGCUGGCUUUCCAUGUGUAAUGAAUUAUUGUAACACUUUAUUGAUUGCUAUUAAUUAAGCGUGUAUAGUGUGGGUUCAACAGGAAUAGGUGUAAAAGUACGAACCCACUUUCAGAUGUCAAAAGUGAGCAUGUGAGCUAUAAGGUUGGUGAGAAUAAACUUGGUCGAUCACUUGGUUUGUGACUGACAAGGUGAACAGACGUUUUUUAUUUAGUUCGUCCGCUAAGGUAGUCCGUAUAAAUAAAUUUAAAAGUGGCGACAAGGAAAAAUAGUUUUUUUUAUCGCGUGUGCUAGAUUUUCACGAGUGGUUCCAGUUUGAAUUCCAGGCAAUUCGCGGCACAGGAGUGCACCGGCGAAAGGUUUUUACCACGACGGUUCGGUGGCGUCGUUUUAGCGGCAGGGUGGCCAGUUCUUUUUGGUACCGUAGGCCGAACAAUAGUACAAAGCCGGUCGUUAGCGACGCAAUUGUGCCCUGGCCAAACGGUUGGCGCGCUAGAGAAUUUCGUGGCAGGUUUUUGGCCACCAGGAAAGAGUGCAACAAAUUUCUAGGGCGAGCCAAAAAGUUUCUGGAAGGCAAAAGGAAAGCAGAGGGAGACAAAGAAAUAUAAGCUUCUGGCCAGCGAGCAGGCUCAACGAAGAAUCGACGUUUCCGGUACUGAAGAUCGCGAUCGGAUCAGUAUUGAUCUCGGCCCACAGGGGGCAGAUUAGAAUUGCUGAUAAAGCUGAACGCAGGCGCAAUGUGGCGUUUCAGUUGGCGGAGAUACCCGUACCCAGGGCAAGACAAGGUACAAAGAGGCAGUUUGACGACUCCGAAGACGACGAACCAUUUCGGGGUUUCACGCCGAUACCACCGCCAGCCAGAAGUGAGGUGCAUCCUGAGGCCUUGCGAUCAGAAGAAACGGCAAGAUCGAUUAACGAAAGCGACACUAUCGAGGUUGCAACAGGAAGCUCCUUACGGAGAUCCGUGAGAGCGAGAAAGAAGAAAUUCGACGGGAAUUAUUUAUAUUACAAAUGAAAUGUGAAUUUAAAUUAUUUUGUAAAAUAGUUUCGAAGAUAGGCUAUUUCGGGAAUUCUUAUCCUUAUCUGAAAUGUUACUAUAGGAUAUUAGUGAAGAAUUUUCCGAGUUGUAUAAAUUGUUCAAGUAACUUAAGAGGGAAGGAUUUGUAAUGAAUUAUUGUAACACUUUAUUGAUUGCUAUUAAUUAAGCGUGUAUAGUGUGGGUUCAACAGGAAUAGGUGUAAAAGUACGAACCCACUUUCAGAUGUCAAAAGUGAGCAUGUGAGCUAUAAGG